RNAcentral lists this long non-coding RNA (1276 nucleotides) under Chlamydomonas reinhardtii. RNAcentral's name for it is "long non-coding RNA (CREI_LNC000115)". Lineage: Eukaryota; Viridiplantae; Chlorophyta; Chlorophyceae; Chlamydomonadales; Chlamydomonadaceae. The record is from RNAcentral.
CAUCAUUGCGCCGCAAGGGGUGUUUCUCGAAGCGUCCUGCCGCGUCGCAGCCUAUCCUGCCCCUUUGAACUUACGGGGCCUGCUGGGGGAGGGCUUGGGCGAGGGGCUGGGCUUGGGAGAAGGGCUGCGGUCGUCGUCGUUAUCGUCAUCGUCAUCAUUGUCAGGUGAAGGGCUAGGCCGGGGCGAGGGGCUGGGCUUGGAGGACGGCGAAGGUUUGGGCGAGGGGCUGGGCUGGGGAGAAGGUGAAGGCUUGGGCGAGGGGCUGCGGUCAUCAUCAUCGUCGUUGCCAUCAUCAUCGUCGUCGUCGUCAUCAUUGUCAGGUGAAGGGCUAGGCCGGGGCGAGGGGCUGGGCUUGGGGGACGGCGAGGGUUUGGGCGAGGGGCUGGGCUGGGGAGAAGGUGAAGGCUUGGGCGAGGGGCUGCGGUCAUCAUCAUCGUCGUUGCCAUCAUCAUCGUCGUCGUCGUCAUCAUUGUCAGGUGAAGGGCUAGGCCGGGGCGAGGGGCUGGGCUUGGGGGACGGCGAGGGUUUGGGCGAGGGGCUGGGCUGGGGAGAAGGUGAAGGCUUGGGCGAGGGGCUGCGGUCAUCAUCAUCGUCGUUGCCAUCAUCAUCGUCGUCGUCGUCAUCAUUGUCAGGUGAAGGGCUAGGCCGGGGCGAGGGGCUGGGCUUGGGGGACGGCGAGGGUUUGGGCGAGGGGCUGGGCUGGGGAGAAGGUGAAGGCUUGGGCGAGGGGCUGCGGUCAUCAUCAUCGUCGUUGCCAUCAUCAUCGUCGUCGUCGUCAUCAUUGUCAGGUGAAGGGCUAGGCCGGGGCGAGGGGCUGGGCUUGGGGGACGGCGAGGGUUUUGGCGAGGGGCUGGGCUGGGGAGAAGGUGAAGGCUUGGGCGAGGGGCUGCGGUCAUCAUCAUCGUCGUCGCCAUCAUCAUCAUCAUCAUCAUCGUCAUCAUCAUCAUCGUUGUCAGGUGAAGGGCUAGGCCGGGGCGACGGGCUGGGCUUGGGGGACGGCGAAGGUUUGGGCGAGGGGCUGGGCUGGGGAGAAGGUGAAGGCUUGGGCGAGGGGCUGCGGUCAUCAUCAUCGUCGUCGCCAUCAUCAUCAUCAUCGUCAUCAUCAUCAUCGUUGUCAGGUGAAGGGCUAGGCCGGGGCGACGGGCUGGGCUUGGGGGACGGCGAAGGUUUGGGCGAGGGGCUGGGCUGGGGAGAGGGUGAAGGCUUGGGCGAGGGGCUGCGGUCAUCGUCAUCGUCAUCAUCGUCGUCAUCAUCAUCAUCCGACUGAAGCAAGCGC